Molecule: unclassified non-coding RNA, 222 nt
Filed under: Hevea brasiliensis (rubber tree)
Lineage: Eukaryota; Viridiplantae; Streptophyta; Magnoliopsida; Malpighiales; Euphorbiaceae
Source: RNAcentral
AAUGAGCCAGGAAAAGGAUUUGAUUCAUUUGAAGAAUGUCCCUCCAAUUAGGUAUGUAGAUGCUCACCUGAUUGCAAUAUCUGAGGCAAGGACAGAUACCAUUAAUGACCAGAGGUACUUUGAGGGAGUAGGGAGACUUGCUCCUGCUAAACCAAGCCGAGGACUUGUUCUUGAUGUAGAAGAUCUGGAUAUUCCCUGGAAUGAUCUGGUUCUGAAGGAAAG